GCCAUGACCCAGCGUGAGAUCCACCACUGGCUGCCUUUCUGUGACGGGCAGGGAGCCAGGAGCCCCUCCGCUCCCCCAGGCCAGGAGUGGACCAAGGGAGGACAGAGGGCAGAGGUGCGGAAGAGGGAUGGGGCCUGGCCUGGCUCCCAGCCUCCUGGGCGGGGCCACCUGGGCUUGUUACCAUGGUGACUGGUUUCCCUGGUUACCCGGGAGCCUGCAGAACCACAGCCAGGCAGGGGCGGCUGGCGGGGAGGGGGCAGAGACGCCCCUUGGGAGGCCUGGCUGUCUGGGCCCUCAGGCCCCGGGGGCCCGCAGCAGAGCCCCACCUCCCUGGCUGGCGUGCAGAGGUGGUCCAGGCCCUACCCCCAGGCACAGGCUGGUGUCCUCCUAACACAGUUGCAGAAGGAGUCAGCCAGCCAUGGCGUGAAGAAGAGAGAAAAAACGUUCAACUAUGCCAGUCUUUGCAGUUGAUUUCCUGUGGCUCUAAAACAAAGGCACGCCAGGCUGGCUGUUCCGUGGCCGGGCAAGGGGUGGCUCACCUUCCACCAGGUGGAGGGCGCCGUCCACGGCUUGCAGUGCUGUCCAAAUGGUGACCGUGUUACUGUGGAGGGUUGGAUUCCUGUCCCUGGAACCCAAACACCUGUGGGUUGCUGCCCCACCCCCACACUUCCCGCUCCCCUCUGCAGUGGCCUUGGGCCACUGCUGCUUCCUCGGGAGGAAGCACCUUCCUGCGUGUGGUGGGCGGUUAGUGGAAACACUCGAGGCACCCCUGGGCAGGUAAGCUGGCACGUCCACACCUGCACCACUGUCCAGUGACACCCAGCUCAGCCACAGAGCAGCCGGGGUCUGCGUGGCCCCUGGGCAGUGUCUGCAUUGGCUUCCCCGGGUGCCCAGAGUCUGGCCGGGAAAAUGGGGUCCUGAACUAGCUGCUGCCGUGGGAAGCCCAGGGCAGCGUGCGGAUCCGACUCUGGGAUUCACUUCCCGAGCCGGCAAGGGGAAGGGCACGUGGGAAAACGCACCUUGGGAAAGCUGCCACGUGGGCAUCUCUGCUUUUUGCAGCCACUGAAGACUUGGGAAGAAACUGAGCUGUGCCGCUGGCCACGUCCUGCAGGUCAGCAAAGCCAAACCAUCGCGACUCAGUGGCUUCUGUCCACACCUGUGACCAGGGCGACCAGCCAGCAGGCUCUGCAGGGAGCAGCACUACCUGCCAAUGCUGGACAGCGUCACCGAUGUGCUCAGUAAUAUCCCACUAAAAGAGACGCUGAAUCUCUGAGCAACAACCCGCAGGGCUGUGUGUCUGCGAGCACAGCCCUGGGCGACGGGCGGACGUCAUCCAAGGCUCCAGGUCACCCAGGGGUGGUGAGAGAUGACGGCCGGGUCGCGGCCGUGGAGCCUGCAGUGCCAGUGUCUUUGGGACACAGCCUGUCCUCUGCUGUUCGGGCAACAGUAGACGCCAGGGUGUGCGACUCGCACCUGUGUAGUGUUAACACCAGCAGCCCAGCUGUCUUCCUUCAGAGCACGUGGCACCUGCUCUGCCCCCACACAACACACGGGGAUCCCGCUGGACCAACCCCUGCCCAGGUCCAGCAGCCGCCCUGCGAGCGAGCAGCUUGAAUGUUUUACCCAGGGUCGGUUUUUUUUUUUUAUCAAACAUGGGGUAAUAAAUGAGUAUUUCUUUAUCA
RNAcentral lists this long non-coding RNA (1682 nucleotides) under Oryctolagus cuniculus (rabbit). Its description in RNAcentral is "lncRNA (ENSOCUG00000034933.1)". The record is from RNAcentral. Lineage: Eukaryota; Metazoa; Chordata; Mammalia; Lagomorpha; Leporidae.